RNAcentral lists this ribosomal RNA (1408 nucleotides) under uncultured bacterium. RNAcentral's name for it is "16S ribosomal RNA". It matches the Rfam family "Bacterial small subunit ribosomal RNA". The record is from RNAcentral.
GAUGAACGCUGGCGGUGUGCCUUAAGCAUGCAAGUCGAACGGGAUUAGUAGCAAUACUAGUCCAGUGGCAGACGGGUGAGUAACGCGUAGGAAUCUACCCUCAAGUGUGGAAUAGCUCGCCGAAAGGUGGGGUAAUACCGCAUGUGGUCGCUUGAUCAAAGCUGUAGCAAUACGGCGCUUGAGGAGGAGCCUGCGUACUAUUAGCUAGUAGGUAGGGUAAUGGCCUACCUAGGCGAUGAUGGUUAGGGGGUGUGAGAGCACGGCCCCCCACAAGGUCACUGAGACACGGGACCUACAUCUACGGAUGGCAGCAACUGGGAAUCUUGCGCAAUGGACGAAAGUCUGACGCAGCGACACCGCGUGUGGGAUGAAGUAUUUCGGUACGUAAACCACUGUGGCGAGGGAAGAAUACAAUGACGGUACCUCGCUAGAAAGCAUCUGCUAACUACGUGCCAGAAGCCUCGGCAAUACGUGGGAUGCAAGCGUUAUCCGGAUUUACUGGGCGUAAAGGGUUUCGCAGGCGGAUUAUUAAGUCUUGCUUUAAAAGCUGGAGCUCAACUCCAGGCAUGGGUGAGAUACUAGUAAUCUAGAGGGAAUCAGGGGAGAUCGGAAUACUCGGUGGAGGGGUGAAAUCCGUUGAUAUCGAGUAGAACGCCAAUGGCGAAAGCAGGUCUCUGGGGUUCUCCUGACGCUCAGGUACGAAAGCUAGGGUAGCAAAAGGGAUUAGAGACCCCUGUAGUCCUAGUCGUAAACGAUGGAUACUAGCUGCUCCCAUUAAGGGGGUGGCGUAAGCUAACGCGUUAAGUAUCCCGCCUGGGUAGUACGGCCGCAAGGUCGAAACUCAAAGGAAUUGACGGGGGAGCGCACAACCAGUGGAGCAUGUGGUUUAAUUCGAUACGAAGCGAAAGACCUCACCUGGGUUUGACAUGUACUUGCAAAUCCCUGGAAACAGGGACUCUUUCGAAGGUAGUACACAGUUGCUGCAUGGCUGUCGUCAGCUCGUGUCGUGAGACGUCCGCUUAAGUGCGGUAACGAGCGCAACCCCUGUUCUGUGUUAAAUUUUCACAGAAGACUGCCUUACAGCAAGUAGGGAGGAAGGAGGGGACGACGUCAAGUCAGCAUGGCACUUACAUCCAGGGCCACACACAUCCUACAAUGGGAAGUCACAACGGGUCGCGACAGGGUAACCUUGAGCCAAUCCUAAGAAAACUUCCCUCAGUUCAGAUUGAGGGCUGCAACCCGCCCUCAUGAAGCCGGAAUUGGUAGUAAUCGCGGAUCAGCAGGCCGCGGUGAAUACGUUCUCGCUCCUUGUACACACUGCCCGUCAAGCCAGCAAAGUCGGCAGAUCCCGAAGCGGGUGUUUGCAACCGUAAGGAGCAACCCUUCUAAGGAUAGGUCGGUGAUGAGG